Molecule: ribosomal RNA, 253 nt
Filed under: uncultured bacterium
Lineage: Bacteria
Description: partial 16S ribosomal RNA
Rfam family: Bacterial small subunit ribosomal RNA
Source: RNAcentral
UACAUGUGGGGCAAGCGUUGUUCGGAAUUACUGGGCGUAAAGGGCUCAUAGGCGGCCAACUAAGUCAGACGUGAAAUCCCUCGGCUUAACCGGGGAACUGCGUCUGAUACUGGAUGGCUUGAGUGUGAGAGAGGGAUGCGGAAUUCCACGUGUAGCAGUGAAAUGCGUAGAGAUGUGGAGGAACACCGAUGGCGAAGGCAGCCCCCUGGGUCAAGAUUGACGCUCAUGCACGAAAGCGUGGGGAGCAAACAGG